CUACACACAACUAAAGAACAUUUGAUCAUGGUAAAUAGAUAGCAAGGAUUCAUCUACUAGACAAGGGCAAAAGCAAAAGAAGCAUAGGAAACCCUAAUCCCUAAUUGCAGCUCCACUCCUCCAUCAGGGCGGGAAAUUUAGGGAUUCAUUGAACGCGUCUUCGAUCCAUCAGAGUCUUGUCUGACUAUGCUGUGAUCUCCCCGCAUGCUCCAUCGCUGGAGGAUCAUUGCCAGUGAGCCUUUUACUCGCUCUCUAUCCUUAAUGUGGUCUCUUACUGGUUCCUCAUCUCCUAAUGUUGAAGACCAGAAGUGGGUUUUGCAAGGAGUGGGGAAGCAAUUUGCCAAGGUUUGCGAUUUCCUCAACCUCUCAAAGUUUUCUAAUUUUGUUGGAUGGAUUUAAUUUGGUUUUUGUUUGGCUGCUUGAUUAGGAAGGAGAGGAUGUGGGAGUUGGCUCUUUGAAUGUUUGAUUUCCUUCUAUUUUUGCAAGUUUGGAUCUAGGGUUUUGUUCUAUGCGUGGUUAAGAUUUCUUGGUUAAAGAUAGCCAGCAAAGCACCUUGAAGAAACUUCAAAGCCAACAUACAUGACAGAUAUUGGUGUUGUAACAACAUCAAAGAUCCUCUGUUCUUUGAAGUUGAAGAUGAAUUGGAAGUUCCUAGGUAGCUUCAUUAGGGACAUAAUAUCGAUUGAAUAGGCCUUGGCCAACCCCCGCAGCACUGGGACUUACACGAGCUUCUCCGGGCACAAUCACUCAUCCGACCUCGUCUCACCACCAUCGGUUUGGAAUUUGGCGCCGGAUUUUGAAUCUGAAGUUGUUCUUGUUUGGGAGUUUAUUAAGGCUUGCAAUGGUUAAACCAAAAGAUCCCAAGACCAAAAAUAAAGGUAAAGGUCAAGCGAUUGAAACAAGCAACAAUCGUCCUACAAGGAAUUCUGCAUAUUGUCCACCUUUGAAAGUUAACUUCCACAAUUCAAUCUACCAUGGCACCUGUCACGGUCCUCCCGAUCACACCAACGAUCACCACGCGGCGCUCGUCAGCACCUUCUAUGGGUACUCUAGGCAAUCAACCAUCAACAAAUAAGAUUCACCACUUGAAGCACCAUCUAAUUCUUCGAUUGAACCAAUAGUAAAUGAGACAUUGGAUUUUGGUUCUUGUGGAUUAUCGACUGCAUGUGAUAAUAUUGCAAGACAAGAUAUACAAACAGAAUUGCAAGACAAGAUAAUAUUGCACCAACGAUCACCACGUCAAAUAGGGGUCCUACUUUAGGAAGAAUUGCUCCAGAAGAUGCAAACAGAAAAUGUACUUUGACAAUUCCUACUGAUAGGUAAUUUGAAAAAAUUUG
Molecule: long non-coding RNA, 1337 nt
Organism: Dioscorea cayenensis subsp. rotundata (Guinea yam)
Lineage: Eukaryota; Viridiplantae; Streptophyta; Magnoliopsida; Dioscoreales; Dioscoreaceae
Exons: 6
Source: RefSeq, a predicted model, not a curated record